This is a regulatory RNA element of Helobdella robusta, 114 nucleotides long. It matches the Rfam family "Potassium channel RNA editing signal". From Rfam's summary of the family: This family represents a group of sequences related to the human potassium channel Kv1.1 hairpin element which directs the efficient modification of an adenosine to inosine by an adenosine deaminase acting on RNA (ADAR). NCBI's taxonomy places the organism in Eukaryota, Metazoa, Annelida, Clitellata, Rhynchobdellida, Glossiphoniidae. The record is from Rfam.
GUGGGCUAUGGUGACAUGACGCCAAAAACUUAUUUAGGAAUGUUUGUUGGAUCAAUUUGCGCUCUAACUGGUGUCCUCACUAUUGCACUUCCAGUUCCAGUCAUUGUUGGCAAC